UGGGGAAUAUUGGACAAUGGGGGCAACCCUGAUCCAGCAACGCCGCGUGAGUGAUGAAGGUCUUCGGAUUGUAAAGCUCUUUUGGCAGGGACGAUGAUGACGGUACCUGCAGAAUAAGCUCCGGCUAACUUCGUGCCAGCAGCCGCGGUAAUACGAAGGGAGCAAGCGUUGUUCGGAUUUACUGGGCGUAAAGGGUGCGUAGGCGGUUUGGUAAGUUGGAUGUGAAAUCCCUGGGCUUAACCCGGGAACUGCAUUCAAAACUCCCAGACUUGAGUAUGGAAGAGGUUGGUGGAAUUCCAAGUGUAGAGGUGAAAUUCGUAGAUAUUUGGAAGAACACCCGUGGCGAAGGCGGCCAACUGGUCCAUAACUGACGCUGAGGCACGAAAGCGUGGGGAGCAAACAGG
Molecule: ribosomal RNA, 404 nt
Filed under: uncultured bacterium
Lineage: Bacteria
Description: bacterial SSU rRNA
Rfam family: Bacterial small subunit ribosomal RNA
Source: RNAcentral